Molecule: ribosomal RNA, 253 nt
Filed under: uncultured bacterium
Lineage: Bacteria
Description: partial 16S ribosomal RNA
Rfam family: Bacterial small subunit ribosomal RNA
Source: RNAcentral
UACGGAGGGGGCUAGCGUUGUUCGGAAUUACUGGGCGUAAAGCGCACGUAGGCGGCUUUGUAAGUUAGAGGUGAAAGCCCGGGGCUCAACUCCGGAAUUGCCUUUAAGACUGCAUCGCUAGAAUUGUGGAGAGGUAAGUGGAAUUCCGAGUGUAGAGGUGAAAUUCGUAGAUAUUCGGAAGAACACCAGUGGCGAAGGCGACUUACUGGACACAUAUUGACGCUGUGGUGCGAAAGCGUGGGGAGCAAACAGG